GUCGAACGGCAGCAUGAGGGUGGUAACACUCUUGAUGGCGAGUGGCGGACGGGUGAGUAACGCGUAGGGAUCUGCCCUAGAGAGGGGGAUAACCCGGGGAAACUCGGGCUAAUACCGCAUAAUAUCUGCGGAUCAAAGUGUGCGCCUUCGGGGCACAUGCUUUAGGAGGAACCUGCGUCCGAUUAGCUAGUUGGUAGGGUAAAGGCCUACCAAGGCGACGAUCGGUAGCUGGUCUGAGAGGACGAUCAGCCACACUGGGACUGAGACACGGCCCAGACUCCUACGGGAGGCAGCAGUGGGGAAUAUUGGACAAUGGGGGCAACCCUGAUCCAGCAAUGCCGCGUGUGUGAAGAAGGCCUGCGGGUUGUAAAGCACUUUAGUUGGGGAGGAAGGUAUGGAGUCGAAUAGGCUUCAUAAUUGACGUUACCCAAAGAAUAUGCACCGGCUAACUCUGUGCCAGCAGCCGCGGUAAUACAGAGGGUGCAAGCGUUAAUCGGAAUUACUGGGCGUAAAGGGCGCGUAGGUGGGUUGAUAAGUUAGAUGUGAAAUACCUGGGCUUAACCUGGGAGGGUCAUAUAAUACUGUCAAUCUAGAGUAUGGUAGAGGGUAGUGGAAUUUCCGGUGUAGCGGUGAAAUGCGUAGAUAUCGGAAGGAACAUCAAUGGCGAAGGCAGCUACCUGGACUAAUACUGACACUGAGGCGCGAAAGCGUGGGUAGCAAACAGGAUUAGAUACCCUGGUAGUCCACGCUGUAAACGAUGAAAACUAGCCGUUGGGAGAGAGAUC
Molecule: ribosomal RNA, 785 nt
Filed under: uncultured Gammaproteobacteria bacterium
Lineage: Bacteria; Pseudomonadati; Pseudomonadota; Gammaproteobacteria
Description: bacterial SSU rRNA
Rfam family: Bacterial small subunit ribosomal RNA
Source: RNAcentral